UACGUAGGGUGCAAGCGUUAAUCGGAAUUACUGGGCGUAAAGCGUGCGCAGGCGGUGAUGUAAGGCAGUUGUGAAAUCCCCGGGCUUAACCUGGGAAUUGCGCUUGAAACUAGCGGGCUUGAGUGUGGCAGAGGGGGGUGGAAUUCCACGUGUAGCAGUGAAAUUCGUAGAUAUCGGGAGGAACACCGGUGGCGAAGGCGGCGACCGGGGUAGACACUGACGCUGAGGUGCGAAAGCGUGGGGAG
This 245-nucleotide ribosomal RNA is filed under the name uncultured bacterium. Its description in RNAcentral is "partial 16S ribosomal RNA". It matches the Rfam family "Bacterial small subunit ribosomal RNA", at positions 524 to 768 of the family's 1533-position model. The record is from RNAcentral.